Molecule: ribosomal RNA, 426 nt
Filed under: uncultured bacterium
Lineage: Bacteria
Description: bacterial SSU rRNA
Rfam family: Bacterial small subunit ribosomal RNA
Source: RNAcentral
GAUGAACGCUGGCGGCGUGCUUAACACAUGCAAGUCGAACGGGAAAUAUUUCAUUGAGACUUCGGUGGAUUUGAUCUAUUUCUAGUGGCGGACGGGUGAGUAACGCGUGGGUAACCUGCCUUAUACAGGGGGAUAACAGUCAGAAAUGGCUGCUAAUACCGCAUAAGCGCACAGAGCUGCAUGGCUCAGUGUGAAAAACUCCGGUGGUAUAAGAUGGACCCGCGUUGGAUUAGCUAGUUGGUGGGGUAACGGCCCACCAAGGCGACGAUCCAUAGCCGGCCUGAGAGGGUGAACGGCCACAUUGGGACUGAGACACGGCCCAGACUCCUACGGGAGGCAGCAGUGGGGAAUAUUGCACAAUGGGGGAAACCCUGAUGCAGCGACGCCGCGUGAAGGAAGAAGUAUCUCGGUAUGUAAACUUCUAUC